GUAACAUUGUUUAAAAAAAAAUCAGAUGAUACACAUUUGAAAAAUGGUAAGUGAAGGGACCUCAUACUCCCAUCCUGUGCCCCUGGAGAGAACCAGUCACUGUGAUUCUCUCUAUAUGGUGUAUACCUUUAUAAAGAGAUAUUUUUGAGUGAGAGGGUGUUUAAUGAAUAAUGAGAGGAAUGUUCUCAAAUUUGUAGUAUAUAUACAUCAGUGUUUAAACAGGUAAACCGAGUAGACUUGUGUAGGAAAUACGAGAGUCCUUUUUUUCUAUGAAGAUUUUUGAAUUCUUAGGUUUGAUUACCCCUUCAAUGUUGUGUUGGUUUUAUUGACAUUGCAGAUGCUAGAUCUUAGAGGGACAAAUCUUGUUUACAUGCUUGAGGUAUUUUGUGUAGAAACUGAAAAUAGAACUAGGUACAUUUACUCCCAAUGGAUGUCUGGUUCCUUUGAAAGUCUAGAUGAAAAGAAACAUGGAAAGUCUUAGAUUAUAAAUAUAUCUUCUCUUAGAAAUAGUCUGUAGAGUCUAAGGAAAAGUCAUAUUUU
RNAcentral lists this long non-coding RNA (540 nucleotides) under Bos taurus (domestic cattle). Its description in RNAcentral is "long non-coding RNA NONBTAT017373". Lineage: Eukaryota; Metazoa; Chordata; Mammalia; Artiodactyla; Bovidae. The record is from RNAcentral.